This 428-nucleotide ribosomal RNA is filed under the name uncultured bacterium. RNAcentral's name for it is "partial 16S ribosomal RNA". It matches the Rfam family "Bacterial small subunit ribosomal RNA", at positions 354 to 796 of the family's 1533-position model. The record is from RNAcentral.
GUAGGGAAUAUUGCACAAUGGGGGAAACCCUGAUGCAGCGACGCCGCGUGAGUGAUGAAGGCCUUCGGGUCGUAAAGCUCUGUCGUAUGGGACUAACAAAAUGAAGGUACCAUGCAAGAAAGGAUCGGCUAACUUCGUGCCAGCAGCCACGGUAAGACGAGGGAUCCUAGCGUUGUUCGGAAUUAUUGGGCGUAAAGCGGGUGUAGGCGGGCCUGUCAGUCAGGUGUGAAAUCCCAGGGCUUAACCCUGGAAGUGCACUUGAUACUGCAGGUCUUGAGUGUGGUAGAGGCUAUUAGAAUUCUUGGUGUAGUGGUGAAAUACGUAGAUAUCAAGAGGAAUACCGGAGGCGAAGGCGGAUAGCUGGGCCAACACUGACGCUGAGACCCGAAAGCGUGGGGAUCAAACAGGAUUAGAAACCCUGGUAGUCC